This 997-nucleotide long non-coding RNA is filed under the name Helianthus annuus (common sunflower). Lineage: Eukaryota; Viridiplantae; Streptophyta; Magnoliopsida; Asterales; Asteraceae. The record is from RNAcentral.
AGAGAGAGAGAUUGACGACGAUGGUGGCGAAUCUCCGCCCUAUUCAUCACCACACUGCCACCUUGACCAUCGCCCAACCCCCAGCGCACCUCCCCCGCCAACCCCUCGAAAACACCACUUUAAACCCCCAAAUUGUCAGAGAUUUUUGAUUCAAGAAGCAAAAACUCAUCUCCUAUGGGCUCCAAGCAACCUGGCUUCGAUGACGACGCAAGCCCCGGAUUUUAAUCGGUGGUUUAGCAAAGGAUACUACCAUAGGUACCUUAGUUAACUAUUUUACAAAGUAUGGAGACCUGAUGGAUUUGGUUAUCAUGAAAGAUCGAUAGACUGGUCGUCUAAGGGGCUUUGGGUUUAUUAAGUAUGCGGAUCCUUCGGUUGUUGACACUGUUAUUGCUGAGACAAAUGUUAUUAAUGGGAAACAAGUCAAACUUAUUGACUUCUCUCUUGGUGAGAAAUCUUUGGUUACUUGCAGCAGUCAUGAACCAAGCAACCCUCGCGACCCUCAUAGAGUAGUGCUUAAUUUGAUGCGAGAACUGGAAAAAUAAUGAAAGAUUUCAACGAAAGGGCAGAUGAGUUUGCGUUUGGAGAAACCGGCGGUUUCACUGGGGUUUCUUGGCCUGUUUUCAGCUAUGGGAAAGAGAAGUUGAGUCUGGAAAGACAGAUCUACUGAAAUGCUGUUGAUUUUUAGUCCUAAACCACUUAAUAUUGCUGUACAGAAUGGUAGCGAUCAUGACACGGGUUUGAUGGCAGAUGUUGGCAGUGAUCAGGAAGAUCAUUCAGUUGCUGUAGCGAAGCACAUAGAAGUUGCAGAUAAAUAUGACGUCGGGGAAUACGGUGACUUUCUUUCAUCCAAGGUUUCAUUUAUUUGGUUGUUUUAUGUUUGACUUAAACAAAAAUUCGAACUAGUUAACUUUUAUGUACUUUUAUGUGUAUACAUGUACACAUCAGUGGUUUCGUAUGUAUUCGGGAAAAUUGGUUAUAGCACUAAAAUGUAAUUUUU